GUUAGGUUAGCAAAAAUUAAUGUAUUUGAUUUAGGUUCAAAAGGUGGGUCACCCACCUAACU
RNAcentral lists this transfer RNA (62 nucleotides) under Falcidens acutargatus. Its description in RNAcentral is "tRNA-Leu". The record is from RNAcentral. Lineage: Eukaryota; Metazoa; Mollusca; Caudofoveata; Chaetodermatida; Chaetodermatidae.